This is a long non-coding RNA of Ictidomys tridecemlineatus (thirteen-lined ground squirrel), 1633 nucleotides long. The record is from Ensembl. Lineage: Eukaryota; Metazoa; Chordata; Mammalia; Rodentia; Sciuridae.
AUGCAAGCUGGGUGCGCUCCAGUCAGCGUAAAUCUUCUCAGUGGCUCUGCUUGUUUCCAUGGUGACCUGACAAGUGAAAUUUUCCAUCUCGGAUGCCAAAUGCCUGUGGAUGAGGCAAAGCCUCCAAGGGUUACCAAAUAUAGACACAGCCCAAGAGGCUCUGGGGCCAGGGCCAGCAGUGGGUUCAGGGUGGGAGUGUGGACCCCCCUGCCCAGAGGAUGCCAUUCUGGGCCUCUCAGAGACCUACUCUUCCUGCAGGCAGGACCCCAGCAGGGUAGCCAUGGGUGCAUCCUCGCUUCCCGUCCCACCAGUCUCAGAACACCAAGGCUUGGACGUUACUGGGACAGGGACACUCUGAGACAAUGUCUGCCUGGAAGUGGCUGUCCCACACCUGCCAGCUGCUGUGAUCCUCUAUCACUGUCUUCAACACGGACACUGGUAAGCAUCACCACGCACCAAGAUCCAGGCCUGGACUGCUGCUUGCCUUGGCGACAGCCCACGACAAAAGCUGCUUUGCCAAGUACUCUUUGGCCUUGUGGGGCCUCAUGCCUCUGGAUGGCCCUAGACUAGACAGUCACCCUGUAGCCACGUGGCUGUAAAUCAGCAGAGGGACUGCUCUUCUCUGUUCUGUCCCAGGUUGUAGGGAAAGGGGCCACAAGCUGCUUCUCCUCCAGGUACCUGACAGGCCAACUCAGCAUAAGUCAAACCUUGGUCUGGAGGAUAAGACCUCCUGGUGGCUUUAACCCUCAACUUCUGGGGCUCUGCACAGAGCAGAAGAGCUACCACGUGGACUCCACUCUCCAUGGGAGCAAGGGCUGCUUCUGCAGCCAAGGGCUUCUUCUUCUUUUUUUUUUUUUUUAAGAGAGAGAGAGAGAAUUUUGAUAUUUAUUUUUUAAUUUUUGGCAGGCACAUCUUUGUUGGUAUGUGGUGCUGAGGAUCAUCUUUGUUGGUAUGUGGUGCUGAGGAUCGAACCCAGGCCGCACGCAUGCCAGGCGAGCACGCUACUGCUUGAGCCACAUCCCCAGCCCAGCCAAGGGCUUCUCUUGGCCAUUUGGCUCCUGAGGCUGAGGGGCCAUCGUGGGGGCCUGUGUGGAGCAUGAAGAACUCCACAUGGUAGUGGGAGGACUGUGGACAGAUCCUUUCACAAUGGAACCACCCUGGGUGCCUGGAGGCAGGGCAGGGCAGGGUGUGAAGGUAUAGGUACUGGGAACAACUGGAGCCCCCAGUGGGAGAAGCUGGGAAGGGCCUCCUUCACAGCACUAUCUGCAAGGAGCAGGGGUCCCAAACUGCAAUGAGGGCCCUAAAGGGAAGAAGCCCAAGUUCACAGGACCCUUGAAGGGUAAGAAUUCCACCAGGCUUUGCCUGGGGAAUCUCAACUUUGCCAUGUGGCUUCAGGGGAGACGUUUCCCAUGACCCUACUCCUCUGCUCCGAGAACAGGAUGAGCAAAACUGCCAAGAUCAAACAUGGCCUCCCCCAUCCACACUGUCAGCAAAUCAUUCCCUGGUCCCUUGGCCAUUUGCUCGUGACACUCAUGUUGACUCCCAUUUGUGACUCCUCUGGCUUUGCCACCCAAUAAAGGUAUGCGGACACCCCACCACCCCUGCCUACACUGCGAUUGCUACAACACUGCAC